Long non-coding RNA from Conger conger (European conger), 1081 nucleotides. RefSeq lists it as uncharacterized. The transcript has 3 exons. The record is from RefSeq and is a predicted model, not a curated record. NCBI's taxonomy places the organism in Eukaryota, Metazoa, Chordata, Actinopteri, Anguilliformes, Congridae.
AGAUUCCGUUGCUAAAGUUUGUGCCUACUUACCCUGAGUGCUAAGGGUAACUUUCACAGUAAAAAAAUAAAAUAACUAACUUUUCUAUAUCAGGGUCCUUUCAAUGUCGACACCGGGUGUAACAAUUUGGAGGUACCGCUGGGAUAUAGUAUUUUUACUGUAGCUAAAAAGCUAAGAGACCCUUUAAAAAAACCUGAUAAGAACGUACUUUGGAUGAGGGAAACGUGGAAGAGGUUUAGCUAGUUAGCAAAAUCUUGAGUGAGCUAAGCUGUAUCGUUUAGCCUAAUCCUGCGACACCAUUUUAUUGUGUGUAUCCGUGAAGUCGUGAAGUGAGGCUAAAUGUUUGAGUAAGGAAGUUGAAGGAGUUGGAACAAAGACUAUUUGGAUUAUCCGUGUGCGACCUGAAAAUUGUAUGCCAGUACCGCAAGAUAACUGGCAGUGAAAAUGUAGAUAUAAAGGGUAAAAAUCGACGUGCUUUAGUUAAACGUGUGAUGCAGUAUUGCCAGUGAAAAGAUUUAGAAAAGACAGAGGACGAAGGCAUGGCCGUGCUUUUGGAUUUAAGCAAUGUUAUAAGCGUUACCCAAGGACCGUGCUGCAAAAAUGGCAAAUGCAGCAGCUGCCUUGAAGGAAUUUCCCGCGCCUGAGAGCGACGUCACACCACUUCGGCCAUCUUCAGACAUUUGCGGAGGGAGGCGCCACACUCAGAGGGAGAGACUCCUACAAGUACUGCAGUUGUGCUUCUUCAAAUGGCUACCACCCAGCAGAUGUAAGGCCUGUCUGACCCAGCACCUCCUUGGAUCCUGCUUUUCUGCAGACAAGUGAAAGUGUUGACUUCCUCUACCAGAGCACUUCUAUGGUGUAGGGUCACAGGGAGGCUGGAGUCUAUCCCAGCAUUCAUUGGGCACAAGCCAGGAACAUCCCCUGGACAGGGUUCCAGUCCAUUGCAGGGAGAACAUGCCCACAGCCGCAUCUCCAAUUCAUCUACAUGUCUCCAUGAGAGGAUCUGGGCUGGCCAGGACUUAAACUCGGAACCUCUUUCUUGUGAGGAAACAGCACUAAAUACUGUGCCACCAUGCUUUAC